Zophobas morio is the source of this 292-nucleotide long non-coding RNA. RefSeq lists it as uncharacterized. The transcript has 2 exons. The record is from RefSeq and is a predicted model, not a curated record. NCBI's taxonomy places the organism in Eukaryota, Metazoa, Arthropoda, Insecta, Coleoptera, Tenebrionidae.
CCGUUUUAACAAAUUAGCCAUCGCUUUUCCGGACUCACGUUAUCUGAAGUGGGGCCUUUUUAUUGCGUUUCGUCCGUUUUAUUGGUCUUAAUCGAGGGUUCUCAUCGGAGUUAAUCGUCCAUCGGCCUGGGAAAAUUGACGCUAUGUAACCUUGAAGGACCCUCACGGAGCCCCGAAGCGAUCCUGGAUUUGGGAGGUGUCGAUCCAAUCGACAUCGGAAAAAAUUCUAAAAAACUGGAAAGCCACCACGAGUGUGUGAAAAAAUUCUCUAGAUCAUUUUAGAGUUCCAUAG